GACGAACGCUGGCGGCGUGCUUAACACAUGCAAGUCGAACGGAAAUGCCCUGCUUUUGUGGGGUGCUCGAGUGGCGAACGGGUGAGUAACACGUGAGUAACCUGCCCUUGACUUUGGGAUAACUUCAGGAAACUGGGGCUAAUACCGGAUAGGAGAUCCUCCUGCAUGGUGGGGGUUGGAAAGUUUCGUCGGUUGGGGAUGGACUCGCGGCUUAUCAGCUUGUUGGUGGGGUAGUGGCUUACCAAGGCUUUGACGGGUAGCCGGCCUGAGAGGGUGACCGGCCACACUGGGACUGAGAGACGGCCCAGACUCCUACGGGAGGCAGCAGUGGGGAAUAUUGCACAAUGGGCGGAAGCCUGAUGCAGCGACGCCGCGUGAGGGAUGACGGCCUUCGGGUUGUAAACCGCUUUCGGCUGUGACGAAGCGUGAGUGACGGUAACUGGAGAAGAAGCACCGGCUAACUACGUG
Molecule: ribosomal RNA, 468 nt
Filed under: uncultured bacterium
Lineage: Bacteria
Description: partial 16S ribosomal RNA
Rfam family: Bacterial small subunit ribosomal RNA
Source: RNAcentral